RNAcentral lists this long non-coding RNA (1343 nucleotides) under Homo sapiens (human). Its description in RNAcentral is "long non-coding RNA NONHSAT181266.1". The record is from RNAcentral. Lineage: Eukaryota; Metazoa; Chordata; Mammalia; Primates; Hominidae.
AUUGGUGUCUUCUUGGUUCAUCCUUGCCCUGCAGAAGUGGAUCAUAGACCUGGCCAUGAAUCUAUGUACUUUCAUCAGCGCGGCCAGUAAGUUUGCACAGCUCCAGUGUCUGUGGAAGACGAGAGACUCAGGAACUGUGAGUGCGCUGACUUGGAGCCUCUCUUCCUAUACCUGUGCAACAAGAAUAAUCACAACCUUAAUGACCACCAAUGAUUUUACAAUUCUUCUACGUUUUGUGAUCAUGCUGGCUUUAAAUAUAUGGGUAACAGUGACAGUACUUCGCUACCGGAAGACCGCUAUAAAGGCUGAAUGAUGGAUACAUUAUUCCUUCACACAGUGGAUUUUGAGUAACUGAACCAAAGGAAAAAGAAGCUCUUUGCUAAAUUAAGGUCUUUUAUAAAUUUAGUAAAUCAGUUUAUAAUCUUUAAAGCCAAAGGUUUUUUUAGACUUGAAAGAAAGAGCCACUUAAAUUCUUGUUUAAAAAUACCAAUUUGCCUCCUCCUUCCUCACUUCGUUAGGUUAUGGUAGUGCUCAGACAUCUGCAGUGUUGAGGCCAGUCACUGUUGGAAGUCAUCCAAGAAGCCCAUUUUGAGGCCAUUUUGAGCCUUACUCUUAAGUUCUCUAUGAAGAACUACAUUGAUUUGUUGGCUUUCAGAAUCUUUUAGGAAAUAAAUCCUCUCCAGGACAAAAAUGAACAUGAAUGGAGUGGCAUUUUGUUCCAAGUCAGAGGUGGGCACCUAUAAUAAAUGACUAGGGUUCACUUUCUGGGACUGAUGUUUAAUUGUAACACAGAUACAACAGGGUGGCCUUGUUGUGUAUAAUACGGUAUUAUACCCGCAUGUGCUCUAGCAAGGAUACCAAGGCAAGCAUACAUGUAGCUGGCUUGAGUUUGUACCAAAACAGUCCUUCAACUUUGCACUGUGCCUUAAGUAAUUACUAACAAAAGGUACUAGGAUUAGCUGCAAUCUCUACUUUCGAUGAGGAAAUCCCAGUAAGCUUUCUGAUUCAAGUACAAUGCUGCCAUUUUUUAAAGGGCCACAACUAUAGAAUUACCACUGUUGGAAUUUGGUACAAAAUAUGUUUUGUCUAUUGAAAACAUACACGGUAAAUGGUGUUGUUAGGUAGGUUCUGUCCAGUUCUUAGGGACUUUUUUCACAUUAUAGCAUUUUUACCCUAAACAUGAUGUUGAGAUUAUUAUAUACUGUAUUUUCUUCUAAAUUAACCCUAAUGUUUAAAAACUCACUUUCCCCCUUUAAUUGAAGGCAUUGUUUUGUUAGAUGCAGUAAUGAUGUUUACCAGAGAUUAUUGUUUCCUAUGCAAAAUAAAUUUUCAUAUUUUGAAUU